CGGUAAUUCCAGCUCCAAUAGCGUAUAUUAAAGUUGUUGCCGUUAAAAAGCUCGUAGUCGAACUUCGGCCUUUGCCGCCCGGUCCGCCCUAUGGGUGUGUACUGGAGCGGUGGAGGCUUACCUCGUGGUGAACGGCCAUGCUCUUUACUGGGUGUGGUCGGGAACCAUGAUUUUUACUUUGAAAAAAUUAGAGUGUUCAAAGCAGGCUUACGCCCGAAUACAUUAGCAUGGAAUAAUAAAAUAGGACGUGCGGUUCUAUUUUGUUGGUUUCUAGAAUCGCCGUAAUGAUUAAUAGGGAUAGUUGGGGGCAUUCGUAUUCAAUUGCUAGAGGUGAAAUUCUUGGAUUUAUUGAAGACGAACUACUGCGAAAGCAUUUGCCAAGGAUGUUUUCAUUGAUCAAGAACGAAGGUUAGGGGAUCGAAAACGAUCAGAUACCGUUGUAGUCUUAACAGUAAACGAUGCCGACUAGGGAUCGGACGAGGAUUUUUAAUGACUCGUUCGGCACCUGAAGAGAAAUCUUUAAGCCUAGGUUCGGGGGGGAGUAUGGUCGCAAGGCUGAAACUUAAAGGAAUUGACGGAAGGGCACCACCAGGUGUGGAGCCUGCGGCUUAAUUUGACUCAACACGGGGAAACUCACCAGGUCCAGACACGACAAGGAUUGACAGAUUGAUAGCUCUUUCUUGAUUUCGUGGUUGGUGGUGCAUGGCCGUUCUUAGUUGGUGGAGUGAUUUGUCUGGUUAAUUCCGAUAACGAACGAGACCUUAACCUGCUAAAUAGCCCGGCCGACUUUGGUUGGUCGCUGGCUUCUUAGAGGGACUAUCAGCGUUUAGCUGAUGGAAGUUUGAGGCAAUAACAGGUCUGUGAUGCCCUUAGAUGUUCUGGGCCGCACGCGCGCUACACUGACCGAACCAGCGAGUUUAUCACCUUGGCCGGAAGGCCUGGGUAAUCUUGUGAAACUCGGUCGUGAUGGGGAUAGAGCAUUGCAAUUAUUGCUCUUCAACGAGGAAUACCUAGUAAGCGUGAGUCAUCAGCUCGCGUUGAAUUCGUCCCUGCCCUUUGUACACACCGCCCGUCGCUACUACCGAUUGAAUGGCUUAGUGAGGUCUCCGGAUUGGCUUCUGGGAGCCGGCAACGGCACCUAGUCGCUGAGAAGUUGAACGAACUUGGUCAUUUAGAGGAAGUAAAAGUCGUAACAAGGUAGCCG
This 1204-nucleotide ribosomal RNA is filed under the name uncultured eukaryote. RNAcentral describes it as "SSU rRNA". It matches the Rfam family "Eukaryotic small subunit ribosomal RNA", at positions 577 to 1805 of the family's 1831-position model. The record is from RNAcentral.